Molecule: long non-coding RNA, 472 nt
Organism: Melospiza melodia melodia
Lineage: Eukaryota; Metazoa; Chordata; Aves; Passeriformes; Passerellidae
Exons: 3
Source: RefSeq, a predicted model, not a curated record
AAGAAUGUUUGUGAUGCUCAUCUCUGAAUGAUGCAUAGUGUCUGCCUGUAUUCAGAUUUUAAAAAGAAUUUAAAAAAAGAAUGCAUGAACAGCAGGUAGACUGGUCAGCAGUGAUUCAGUCCCUGGCAGCCAUGAUGAGAGCACCACAAACUCAACUCAGCCCUGCUAGAGGUGGAUAUUUCUCCAUUUCCUUUCAUGGCAUUGCACCUACGUUACACCAGGUAUCAAGGGAAAAUGGCUAGCAGUGAGUUCUCUAGCUUUUCCUGCUCUACAGCCCCUCUGGCUUAGCCAGCUGGAUCACACUGAAUUAGUCAAGUACUUCAUUAUCUCCCUUCUCUGCACAUUUAGCUCCAGCGAGAACGAACCCUUCCACAGCAAUACCAACCUCGGGGGUCUCCAAGCACUUCUGCACCUGCCUCGGAAGGACAGACAGCCUUUCCCAGCUGCCCACAGGUGGAAGCAGGCUGCGAGC